GACGAACGCUGGCGGCGUGCCUAACACAUGCAAGUCGAACGGAGUUAAGUCUUCGGAUUUAACUUAGUGGCGAACGGGUGAGUAACGCGUGAGGAACCUGCCUUUCAGUGGGGGACAACAGUUGGAAACGACUGCUAAUACCGCAUAAGCGCACAGUACCGCAUGGUACAGUGUGAAAAACUCCGGUGGUGUGAGAUGGACCCGCGUCUGAUUAGCUAGUUGGUGAGGUAAUGGCCCACCAAGGCGACGAUCAGUAGCCGGCCUGAGAGGGUGAACGGCCACAUUGGGACUGAGACACGG
This 300-nucleotide ribosomal RNA is filed under the name uncultured bacterium. RNAcentral's name for it is "bacterial SSU rRNA". It matches the Rfam family "Bacterial small subunit ribosomal RNA", at positions 28 to 329 of the family's 1533-position model. The record is from RNAcentral.